Molecule: ribosomal RNA, 460 nt
Filed under: uncultured bacterium
Lineage: Bacteria
Description: partial 16S ribosomal RNA
Rfam family: Bacterial small subunit ribosomal RNA
Source: RNAcentral
CCUACGGGGGACUGCAGUGAGGAAUAUUGGUCAAUGGACGAGAGUCUGAACCAGCCAAGUAGCGUGAAGGAUGCCUGCCCUAUGGGUUGUAAACUUCUUUUAUAAAGGAAUAAAACGAGGCACGUGUGCCUUUUUGCAUGUACUUUAUGAAUAAGGAUCGGCUAACUCCGUGCCAGCAGCCGCGGUAAUACGGAGGAUCCGAGCGUUAUCCGGAUUUAUUGGGUUUAAAGGGAGCGUAGAUGGGUUGUUAAGUCAGUUGUGAAAGUUUGCGGCUCAACCGUAAAAUUGCAAUUGAUACUGGCAGUCUUGAGUACAGUUGAGGUAGGCGGAAUUCGUGGUGUAGCGGUGAAAUGCUUAGAUAUCACGAAGAACCCCGAUUGCGAAGGCAGCUUACUAAACUGUGACUGACAUUGAUGCUCGAAAGUGUGGGGAUCAAACAGGAUUAGAUACCCUAGUAGUC